Molecule: ribosomal RNA, 742 nt
Filed under: uncultured bacterium
Lineage: Bacteria
Description: bacterial SSU rRNA
Rfam family: Bacterial small subunit ribosomal RNA
Source: RNAcentral
AGAGUUUGAUCAUGGCUCAGAACGAACGCUGGCGGCAGGCCUAACACAUGCAAGUCGAACGCUCUCGCAAGAGAGAGUGGCGCACGGGUGCGUAACGCGUGGGAAUGUACCUCUAGGUACGGAACAACCCAGGGAAACUUGGGCUAAUACCGUAUAAUAUCUUCGGAUCAAAGAUUUAUCGCCUAGAGAUCAGCCCGCGUAGGAUUAGCUAGUUGGUGAGGUAAUGGCUCACCAAGGCUACGAUCCUUAGCUGGUCUGAGAGGAUGAUCAGCCACACUGGAACUGAGACACGGUCCAGACUCCUACGGGAGGCAGCAGUGAGGAAUAUUGGACAAUGGGGGCAACCCUGAUCCAGCCAUGCCGCGUGAGUGAUGAAGGCCUUCGGGUUGUAAAACUCUUUUAGAUGUGACGAUGAUGACGGUAACAUCAGAAAAAGCUCCGGCUAACUUCGUGCCAGCAGCCGCGGUAAUACGAAGGGAGCGAGCGUUGUUCGGAAUCACUGGGCUUAAAGCGUGCGUAGGCGGAUUAGUAAGUAAGAAGUGAAAUCCCAGGGCUUAACCCUGGAACUGCUUUUUAGACUGCUUGUCUGGAAUUCGGUAGAGGUUGGUGGAACUCCUAGUGUAGAGGUGAAAUUCGCAGAUAUUAGGAAGAACACCGGUGGCGAAGGCGACCAACUGGACCGAUAUUGACGCUGAGGCACGAAAGCGUGGGUAGCAAACAGGAUUAGAUACCCUAGUAGUCC